GGGUUGUGAGGUUAAGCGACUAAGCGUACACGGUGGAUGCCCUGGCAGUCAGAGGCGAUGAAGGACGUGCUAAUCUGCGAUAAGCGUCGGUAAGGUGAUAUGAACCGUUAUAACCGGCGAUUUCCGAAUGGGGAAACCCAGUGUGUUUCGACACACUAUCAUUAACUGAAUCCAUAGGUUAAUGAGGCGAACCGGGGGAACUGAAACAUCUAAGUACCCCGAGGAAAAGAAAUCAACCGAGAUUCCCCCAGUAGCGGCGAGCGAACGGGGAGCAGCCCAGAGCCUGAAUCAGUGUGUGUGUUAGUGGAAGCGUCUGGAAAGGCGCGCGAUACAGGGUGACAGCCCCGUACACAAAAAUGCACAUGCUGUGAGCUCGAUGAGUAGGGCGGGACACGUGGUAUCCUGUCUGAAUAUGGGGGGACCAUCCUCCAAGGCUAAAUACUCCUGACUGACCGAUAGUGAACCAGUACCGUGAGGGAAAGGCGAAAAGAACCCCGGCGAGGGGAGUGAAAAAGAACCUGAAACCGUGUACGUACAAGCAGUGGGAGCACGCUUCGGCGUGUGACUGCGUACCUUUUGUAUAAUGGGUCAGCGACUUAUAUUCUGUAGCAAGGUUAACCGAAUAGGGGAGCCGAAGGGAAACCGAGUCUUAACUGGGCGUUAAGUUGCAGGGUAUAGACCCGAAACCCGGUGAUCUAGCCAUGGGCAGGUUGAAGGUUGGGUAACACUAACUGGAGGACCGAACCGACUAAUGUUGAAAAAUUAGCGGAUGACUUGUGGCUGGGGGUGAAAGGCCAAUCAAACCGGGAGAUAGCUGGUUCUCCCCGAAAGCUAUUUAGGUAGCGCCUCGUGAAUUCAUCUCCGGGGGUAGAGCACUGUUUCGGCAAGGGGGUCAUCCCGACUUACCAACCCGAUGCAAACUGCGAAUACCGGAGAAUGUUAUCACGGGAGACACACGGCGGGUGCUAACGUCCGUCGUGAAGAGGGAAACAACCCAGACCGCCAGCUAAGGUCCCAAAGUCAUGGUUAAGUGGGAAACGAUGUGGGAAGGCCCAGACAGCCAGGAUGUUGGCUUAGAAGCAGCCAUCAUUUAAAGAAAGCGUAAUAGCUCACUGGUCGAGUCGGCCUGCGCGGAAGAUGUAACGGGGCUAAACCAUGCACCGAAGCUGCGGCAGCGACGCUUAUGCGUUGUUGGGUAGGGGAGCGUUCUGUAAGCCUGUGAAGGUGUGCUGUGAGGCAUGCUGGAGGUAUCAGAAGUGCGAAUGCUGACAUAAGUAACGAUAAAGCGGGUGAAAAGCCCGCUCGCCGGAAGACCAAGGGUUCCUGUCCAACGUUAAUCGGGGCAGGGUGAGUCGACCCCUAAGGCGAGGCCGAAAGGCGUAGUCGAUGGGAAACAGGUUAAUAUUCCUGUACUUGGUGUUACUGCGAAGGGGGGACGGAGAAGGCUAUGUUGGCCGGGCGACGGUUGUCCCGGUUUAAGCGUGUAGGCUGGUUUUCCAGGCAAAUCCGGAAAAUCAAGGCUGAGGCGUGAUGACGAGGCACUACGGUGCUGAAGCAACAAAUGCCCUGCUUCCAGGAAAAGCCUCUAAGCAUCAGGUAACAUCAAAUCGUACCCCAAACCGACACAGGUGGUCAGGUAGAGAAUACCAAGGCGCUUGAGAGAACUCGGGUGAAGGAACUAGGCAAAAUGGUGCCGUAACUUCGGGAGAAGGCACGCUGAUAUGUAGGUGAGGUCCCUCGCGGAUGGAGCUGAAAUCAGUCGAAGAUACCAGCUGGCUGCAACUGUUUAUUAAAAACACAGCACUGUGCAAACACGAAAGUGGACGUAUACGGUGUGACGCCUGCCCGGUGCCGGAAGGUUAAUUGAUGGGGUCAGCGCAAGCGAAGCUCUUGAUCGAAGCCCCGGUAAACGGCGGCCGUAACUAUAACGGUCCUAAGGUAGCGAAAUUCCUUGUCGGGUAAGUUCCGACCUGCACGAAUGGCGUAAUGAUGGCCAGGCUGUCUCCACCCGAGACUCAGUGAAAUUGAACUCGCUGUGAAGAUGCAGUGUACCCGCGGCAAGACGGAAAGACCCCGUGAACCUUUACUAUAGCUUGACACUGAACAUUGAGCCUUGAUGUGUAGGAUAGGUGGGAGGCUUAGAAGUGUGGACGCCAGUCUGCAUGGAGCCGACCUUGAAAUACCACCCUUUAAUGUUUGAUGUUCUAACGUUGACCCGUAAUCCGGGUUGCGGACAGUGUCUGGUGGGUAGUUUGACUGGGGCGGUCUCCUCCUAAAGAGUAACGGAGGAGCACGAAGGUUGGCUAAUCCUGGUCGGACAUCAGGAGGUUAGUGCAAUGGCAUAAGCCAGCUUGACUGCGAGCGUGACGGCGCGAGCAGGUGCGAAAGCAGGUCAUAGUGAUCCGGUGGUUCUGAAUGGAAGGGCCAUCGCUCAACGGAUAAAAGGUACUCCGGGGAUAACAGGCUGAUACCGCCCAAGAGUUCAUAUCGACGGCGGUGUUUGGCACCUCGAUGUCGGCUCAUCACAUCCUGGGGCUGAAGUAGGUCCCAAGGGUAUGGCUGUUCGCCAUUUAAAGUGGUACGCGAGCUGGGUUUAGAACGUCGUGAGACAGUUCGGUCCCUAUCUGCCGUGGGCGCUGGAGAACUGAGGGGGGCUGCUCCUAGUACGAGAGGACCGGAGUGGACGCAUCACUGGUGUUCGGGUUGUCAUGCCAAUGGCACUGCCCGGUAGCUAAAUGCGGAAGAGAUAAGUGCUGAAAGCAUCUAAGCACGAAACUUGCCCCGAGAUGAGUUCUCCCUGACUCCUUGAGAGUCCUGAAGGAACGUUGAAGACGACGACGUUGAUAGGCCGGGUGUGUAAGCGCAGCGAUGCGUUGAGCUAACCGGUACUAAUGAACCGUGAGG
RNAcentral lists this ribosomal RNA (2904 nucleotides) under Escherichia coli. RNAcentral describes it as "partial 23S ribosomal RNA". It matches the Rfam family "Bacterial large subunit ribosomal RNA". The record is from RNAcentral. Lineage: Bacteria; Pseudomonadati; Pseudomonadota; Gammaproteobacteria; Enterobacterales; Enterobacteriaceae.